GUGCAAGAUUCUGUCUGAUCCAUUACACAAAAAGAAGGUUGUUUUCUAUAUAAACAGUGUAUGGUUUUCCUUUAACAUUUGUCCGCGACCGGAUUAAUUCAUGUUGCCGCUAAGAUGCAACGCACUUCAACUAUAUAGUUGAUAAGUAACACAGACAUACAAACUGUAUUUAUCUUUUAUACUUAUAAUGUCUUGCCUCUUACUAUUUUAUAAAUACUUGUGGUAUUUCAUGUAUCUCUACAAAUUUCUGACGUGUUCUAAAAGUGUACAAUUUUUUUUAGUUUCUUAUACCUCAAAUUUAUGUUAUCUCGACAGAAUUCAUUAAUACAUUUUUUUGUGAAAGCAGUUGUUUACCCUAUAUCAAGUUUAAAAAGAAAGGCUUAUGGUCUCAUUUCUCGAGGAGGGAGUUUCGUUUUAAGCAAGUCCAUUUACAAUUUCAAUUAGUAAACACUUAUUGUUCCGCAGCUCUGAUACAUACAACAUAAAUUGGACUCAAAAGAAGCACAAGGUUUCUUUGUUGCAGAUCGAAUCAUUGUUUUUUUUUUUUUUUAAUUUUACUUUUCUGAUGUUUUGAAUACAAAUACUCUAUUGGUCAAUUAUACUGAUUCCUUUUAUAAAACACGCACUUAGGGAUAAACCCCUUGGUUAUAAAUGGA
This 656-nucleotide long non-coding RNA is filed under the name Mytilus galloprovincialis (Mediterranean mussel). The record is from RNAcentral. Lineage: Eukaryota; Metazoa; Mollusca; Bivalvia; Mytilida; Mytilidae.